CAGUCGCCACGGGAAUACGAAGGGGGCUAGCGUUGUUCGGAUUUACUGGGCGUAAAGCGCACGUAGGCGGAUCGAUCAGUCAGGGGUGAAAUCCUGGAGCUCAACUCCAGAACUGCCUUUGAUACUGUCGAUCUCGAGUCCGGAAGAGGUGAGUGGAACUCCUAGUGUAGAGGUGGAAUUCGUAGAUAUUAGGAAGAACACCAGUGGCGAAGGCGGCUCACUGGUCCGGUACUGACGCUGAGGUGCGAAAGCGUGGGGAGCAAACAGGAUUAGAUACCCCAGUAGUCCCUGUCUCUUAUAC
Molecule: ribosomal RNA, 301 nt
Filed under: uncultured bacterium
Lineage: Bacteria
Description: partial 16S ribosomal RNA
Rfam family: Bacterial small subunit ribosomal RNA
Source: RNAcentral